AUUGAACGCUGGCGGCAGGCCUAACACAUGCAAGUCGAACGAGUGGCGGACGGGUGAGUAAUGUCUGGGAAACUGCCCGAUGGAGGGGGAUAACUACUGGAAACGGUCGCUAAUACCGCAUACCAUCGGAUGUGCCCAGAUGGGAUUAGCUCGUAGGUGGGGUAACGGCUCACCUAGGCGACGAUCCCUAGCUGGUCUGAUAGGAUGACCAUCCACACUGGAACUUAGACACGGUCCAGACUCCUACGCGAGUCAGCAGUGGGGAAUAUUGCACAAUGGGCGCAAGCCUGAUGCAGCCCGGCCGCGUGUAUGAAGAAGGCCUUCGGGUUGUAAAGUACUUUCAGCGAGGAGGCGUUACUCGCAGAAGAAGCAUCGGCUAACGCCGUGCCAGCAGCCGCGGUAAUUC
RNAcentral lists this ribosomal RNA (406 nucleotides) under uncultured bacterium. Its description in RNAcentral is "partial 16S ribosomal RNA". It matches the Rfam family "Bacterial small subunit ribosomal RNA", at positions 30 to 526 of the family's 1533-position model. The record is from RNAcentral.